RNAcentral lists this transfer RNA (85 nucleotides) under Aestuariispira insulae. It matches the Rfam family "tRNA". From Rfam's summary of the family: Transfer RNA (tRNA) molecules are approximately 80 nucleotides in length. Their secondary structure includes four short double-helical elements and three loops (D, anti-codon, and T loops). The record is from Rfam by way of RNAcentral. Lineage: Bacteria; Pseudomonadati; Pseudomonadota; Alphaproteobacteria; Rhodospirillales; Aestuariispiraceae.
GGAGUGAUGGCCGAGCGGCUUAAGGCGCACGCCUGGAAAGCGUGUUGGGGGCAACCCCUCGGGGGUUCGAAUCCCCCUCACUCCG